UACGGAGGGUGCGAGCGUUGUCCGGAAUCACUGGGCGUAAAGGGCGCGUAGGCGGCCUGAUAAGUAGGGGGUGAAAUCCUGCGGCUUAACCGCAGGGCUGCCUUCUAAACUGUCAGGCUAGAGCACGGUAGAGGCAGAUGGAAUUCCCGGUGUAGCGGUGGAAUGCGUAGAGAUCGGGAAGAACAUCAGUGGCGAAGGCGGUUCUCUGGGCAUGUCCUGACGCUGAGGAGCGAAAGUGUGGGGAGCGAACAGG
RNAcentral lists this ribosomal RNA (253 nucleotides) under uncultured bacterium. RNAcentral describes it as "partial 16S ribosomal RNA". It matches the Rfam family "Bacterial small subunit ribosomal RNA", at positions 524 to 776 of the family's 1533-position model. The record is from RNAcentral.